AUAUUUUUAGAAAUGUACUGAGCUAGGCUUUGUGCUAAGAGUGUGCUGGCUGUGCUUGGAGCUGCUCUCAGCUCUUAUAGACCCUCCGUGAGCACCAUGAGAGCCUCAGCAAAUGACACUAGACAUUUCCAGCACUAAGGGAGACUAAGAUCACACAUGAGAACCGUGCCAACAGGCUUACCUCCAGAUGGGACAAAAUCGGAACCUGGCUACCACUGAGCAUGGCCGGAGACAUGUAGCUACGGUUAGAAACCCUAUGGAGAGAAGCAGAGACCAGGACAGAGAGAAGAGGAAGAUAAGAAGACGGAGGCAGAGACUGGAGUGAUGUGGCCACAAGCCAAGGAACGCCAGAGCCACUAGAAGGUGGAAAAGACAAGACACACAUCUUGCGUUGUGUGCCUGGAAGGAGUGCAGCCCUGCUAGAUUUCCAACUUCUGGCCACCAUAACUUUGAAAUGAAUCUGCUGUGUUAA
This is a non-coding RNA of Macaca mulatta (Rhesus monkey), 472 nucleotides long. Lineage: Eukaryota; Metazoa; Chordata; Mammalia; Primates; Cercopithecidae. The record is from RefSeq and is a predicted model, not a curated record.